UGGGGCCUAGCUUAGUGGCAGAGCAUGUGCUUAGCAUGCACGAGGCCCUGGGUUCAAUCUCCAGCACCAA
Molecule: transfer RNA, 70 nt
Filed under: Heterocephalus glaber (naked mole-rat)
Lineage: Eukaryota; Metazoa; Chordata; Mammalia; Rodentia; Bathyergidae
Rfam family: tRNA
About the family: Transfer RNA (tRNA) molecules are approximately 80 nucleotides in length. Their secondary structure includes four short double-helical elements and three loops (D, anti-codon, and T loops).
Source: Rfam by way of RNAcentral